This 235-nucleotide long non-coding RNA is filed under the name Brassica napus (rape). RNAcentral's name for it is "long non-coding RNA (BNAP_LNC000676)". The record is from RNAcentral. Lineage: Eukaryota; Viridiplantae; Streptophyta; Magnoliopsida; Brassicales; Brassicaceae.
UGAGAGAGGGUUCGACAAGGGAGGAUCAAGCAAAAAAGAUCACAAGAGGUGUCGCCAAAAAUUGCAUCAAGGUUCAAAGUUUCCGAUCUUUUGAGAUCAAUCAAUGCGAGGACGUGAUUCGUGACAAUCCAGUAUUGUAGGAUGUUAUCGAAUUUGAGAUUAUGUGAAAGAGUAAUGUGUUUUAUAUAUGGAAUUUUGUUCUUUGUUAUUCGAAGUUAAUCUUCAAGGGUCGAAG